RNAcentral lists this ribosomal RNA (464 nucleotides) under uncultured bacterium. Its description in RNAcentral is "bacterial SSU rRNA". It matches the Rfam family "Bacterial small subunit ribosomal RNA", at positions 330 to 792 of the family's 1533-position model. The record is from RNAcentral.
UCCAGACUCCUACGGGAGGCAGCAGUGAGGAAUAUUGGUCAAUGGGCGAGAGCCUGAACCAGCCAAGUCGCGUGAGGGAGGACGGCCCUACGGGUUGUAAAUCUCUUUUGCCGGGGGACAAACGGCGGCACGCGUGCCGUCCUGAGGGUACCCGGAGAAAAAGCAUCGGCUAACUCCGUGCCGGCAGCCGCGGUAAUACGGAGGAUGCGAGCGUUAUCCGGAUUUAUUGGGUUUAAAGGGUGCGCAGGCGGAUUUUUAAGUCAGCGGUAAAAUCGUGGGGCUCAACCCCAUCCAGCCGUUGAAACUGGGGAUCUAGAGUGUGCGAGAGGUAUGCGGAAUGCGUGGUGUAGCGGUGAAAUGCAUAGAUAUCACGAAGAACUCCGAUUGCGAAGGCAGCCUACUAAACUGCCACUGACAUUGAUGCUCGAAAGUGUGGGUAUCAAACAGGAUUAGAUACCCCAGUA